UACAGAGGUCUCAAGCGUUGUUCGGAUUUACUGGGCGUAAAGGGCGCGUAGGCGGCGCGGUAAGUCACUUGUGAAAUCUCUGAGCUUAACUCAGAACGGCCAAGUGAUACUGCAGUGCUAGAGUGCAGAAAGGGCAAUCGGAAUUCUUGGUGUAGCGGUGAAAUGCGUAGAUAUCAAGAGGAACACCUGAGGCGAAGGCGGGUUGCUAGGCUGACACUGACGCUGAGUGCGCGAAAGCCAGGGGAGCAAACGGG
RNAcentral lists this ribosomal RNA (254 nucleotides) under uncultured bacterium. Its description in RNAcentral is "partial 16S ribosomal RNA". It matches the Rfam family "Bacterial small subunit ribosomal RNA", at positions 524 to 776 of the family's 1533-position model. The record is from RNAcentral.